Molecule: ribosomal RNA, 523 nt
Filed under: uncultured Bacteroides sp.
Lineage: Bacteria; Pseudomonadati; Bacteroidota; Bacteroidia; Bacteroidales; Bacteroidaceae
Description: bacterial SSU rRNA
Rfam family: Bacterial small subunit ribosomal RNA
Source: RNAcentral
AGAGUUUGAUCCUGGCUCAGGAUGAACGCUAGCUACAGGCUUAACACAUGCAAGUCGAGGGGCAGCAUGGUCUUAGCUUGCUAAGGCUGAUGGCGACCGGCGCACGGGUGAGUAACACGUAUCCAACCUGCCGUCUACUCUUGGCCAGCCUUCUGAAAGGAAGAUUAAUCCAGGAUGGGAUCAUGAGUUCACAUGUCCGCAUGAUUAAAGGUAUUUUCCGGUAGACGAUGGGGAUGCGUUCCAUUAGAUAGUAGGCGGGGUAACGGCCCACCUAGUCAACGAUGGAUAGGGGUUCUGAGAGGAAGGUCCCCCACAUUGGAACUGAGACACGGUCCAAACUCCUACGGGAGGCAGCAGUGAGGAAUAUUGGUCAAUGGGCGAUGGCCUGAACCAGCCAAGUAGCGUGAAGGAUGACUGCCCUAUGGGUUGUAAACUUCUUUUAUAAAGGAAUAAAGUCGGGUAUGCAUACCCGUUUGCAUGUACUUUAUGAAUAAGGAUCGGCUAACUCCGUGCCAGCAGCCGC